UACGUAGGGAGCAAGCGUUAUCCGGAUUUACUGGGUGUAAAGGGCGUGUAGGCGGGACUACAAGUCAGAUGUGAAAAUUAUGGGCUCAACCCAUAACCUGCAUUUGAAACUGUGGUUCUUGAGUGCUGGAGAGGCAAAUGGAACUCCUAGUGUAGCGGUGAAAUGCGUAGAUAUUAGGAAGAACACCAGUGGCGAAGGCGAUUUGCUGGACAGUAACUGACGCUGAUGCGCGAAAGUGUGGGGAGCAAACAGGAUUAGA
RNAcentral lists this ribosomal RNA (259 nucleotides) under uncultured prokaryote. Its description in RNAcentral is "partial 16S ribosomal RNA". It matches the Rfam family "Bacterial small subunit ribosomal RNA", at positions 524 to 782 of the family's 1533-position model. The record is from RNAcentral.